This 509-nucleotide ribosomal RNA is filed under the name uncultured bacterium. RNAcentral's name for it is "bacterial SSU rRNA". It matches the Rfam family "Bacterial small subunit ribosomal RNA", at positions 19 to 518 of the family's 1533-position model. The record is from RNAcentral.
AUGGCUCAGGAUGAACGCUAGCGGCAGGCCUAACACAUGCAAGUCGCGGGGCAGGCACGGGUAGCAAUACCUGGUGGCGACCGGCGCACGGGUGCGUAACGCGUAUGCAACCUGCCCCCACCUCAGGGGGAAUAGCCCGCCGAAAGGCGGAUUAAUGCCCCAUAGGCCCGGGGCGCCGCAUGGCGCUAUGGGUAAAGCUCCGGCGGAUGGGGAUGGGCAUGCGUGCCAUUAGCUAGUUGGGGCGGUAACGGCGCACCAAGGCGACGAUGGCUAGGGGGUCUGAGAGGAUGGUCCCCCACACUGGUACUGAGACACGGACCAGACUCCUACGGGAGGCAGCAGUGAGGAAUAUUGGUCAAUGGGCGGAAGCCUGAACCAGCCAUGCCGCGUGCAGGAAUGACGGCCCUACGGAUUGUAAACUUCUUUUAUAGUAGAAUAAAGUGAUCCACGUGUGGAUUUUUGUAUGUAUACUAUGAAUAAGGAUCGGCUAACUCCGUGCCAGCCGCUGC